Molecule: non-coding RNA, 73 nt
Organism: Nycticebus coucang (slow loris)
Lineage: Eukaryota; Metazoa; Chordata; Mammalia; Primates; Lorisidae
Source: the annotation of a RefSeq genome assembly
GCCUAGCUAGCUCAGUUGGUAGAACAUGAGACUUUUAAUCUGAGGGUCAUGGGUUCGAGCCCCAUGUUGGGUG